RNAcentral lists this transfer RNA (76 nucleotides) under Chloroflexota bacterium. RNAcentral describes it as "Chloroflexi bacterium (freshwater metagenome) tRNA-Trp". It matches the Rfam family "tRNA". From Rfam's summary of the family: Transfer RNA (tRNA) molecules are approximately 80 nucleotides in length. The record is from RNAcentral. Lineage: Bacteria; Bacillati; Chloroflexota.
AGGGGUGUAGCUCAGUUGGUAGAGCAGCGGUCUCCAAAACCGCAGGUCGCGGGUUCGAGUCCUGCCGCCCCUGCCA